CGCCUGUUUAUCAAAAACAUUUCUGUCGGUUUACGAGACAGUAAGGCCUGCCCGGUGGAGUCUAAACGGCUGCGGUAUUUUGACCGUGCUAAGGUAGCAUAAUCAUUUGCUUCUUAAUUGGUAGCUGGAAUGAAAGGUUAAACUGAUUUAACUAGUUUGUUUUUCUAGUUAGGACCUUUAAGUCAAGGUAAAAAUUCUUUGAUAGGCUAGGGGACGAUAAGACCCUAGAAGCUUAACAAUUAGGCUAGGUGUUAGUUGUGUCUGUAGCUAUGUUUUACUGGGGCGGUAAGGGUGUUUAAACCACUUAGGUUUUAGUUGGUCCUCUAUAUUGGGAUAGAUUGGUUUAGUUACUCUAGGGAUAACAGUGCUAUAUAUUUGAAGAGACCUUAUCGAUAAAUAUUUU
Molecule: ribosomal RNA, 403 nt
Filed under: Micruropus fixseni
Lineage: Eukaryota; Metazoa; Arthropoda; Malacostraca; Amphipoda; Micruropodidae
Description: partial 16S ribosomal RNA
Rfam family: Bacterial large subunit ribosomal RNA
Source: RNAcentral